AUUCACCUCUUCACUCUCUUCCUUCUCAAACACACUUUCACAUUCAAACCCAACAAAUCCGCCACUUAUCCAUUAUUUGUACUGCUACUACUACGUAGUCCAGUACUUAUAUUAUUCACUCACUCCUCGGAAUCUCUUCAGUUUCCCGCUACUCUUUCUCUCUCUAAAAAUCUAAAUCUUAAACCCUAAUUCACUGAAAACGGUCCGUUUCAUUCAAUUCUACUUCGCUUUAUCCUUCUCUCUCUGCAUUUAGUCUGAGGAUAUCUUUUGGCUGCAAGAUAAUGAUACAAGUUAAGGAGGAAUCUCAGACUCUGGACUUCAGUGGAUUUGCUUCUUGUUCAUCUUUCUCUGAUAGCAGUUACGAGGCUAGCACUCCGAGAUACUCCUCCGAACCUGGUUCUAGUUAUCGAAGGAGCUCUGGUCCAACUAAACGUUCUUCCCAGGCAGGCUGGACGGAAGAAGAGGAUAAUCUGUUGACUGAAGUGGUGAAAAGGUUCAAAGGGAGAAACUGGAAAAAGAUAGCUGAGUGCAUGAAUGGAAGGACUGAUGUGCAGUGCUUGCAUCGCUGGCAGAAGGUUCUGAAUCCUGAACUUGUAAAGGGUCCUUGGUCAAAGGAGGAGGAUGACCUGAUUGUUGAGUUAGUUGAGAAAUAUGGCUGUAAGAAGUGGUCUUUUAUUGCUAAGUCUAUGCCUGGUCGCAUUGGCAAGCAAUGUCGGGAAAGGUGGCACAACCAUCUUGACCCAACAAUAAAAAGAGAUGCUUGGACGGAACAGGAAGAAUCAGUCCUAUGCCACUAUCACCAAAUAUACGGGAACAAGUGGGCAGAAAUUGCGAGGUUUCUGCCUGGAAGGACUGAUAAUGCAAUUAAAAAUCAUUGGAAUUCCUCAGUAAAGAAAAGAUUGAACUUGAAUUUGCCUAGUAGGUUAGUGCUGGAUACAGAAAGUGAGGGAUCUCCUAAUUUCUCUAGUGACAAGAAAAAAAUAGAGAUCAAGAAGCAUCCGGUACAAGCUCAAAAUGCAGAACAAACAAUCUUUUUAGGCAAGCAGACAGGAUUGGAUAAUGCUGCUGUUGCUUUGUCAACUGAUCUGAGAAUUGGAUAUGCUUAUUCUGCUGGAAAUGCUAAGCAUAAGGAUACUUCUUUAUUUGGAGCCUGUAUAUCAGCAGAAGAAAAUGUGAGGGAUCUGAUAAAGCCACUUGGUGGAAUACAAUUUGGCAAGGCAGAUGUUCUUCCGAUUGGUGAGACAGAUAAACCAUGCCAAUCCAAUUUAAGUCGCACUAAAAUAUCAUAUCCACUCUCAGCCUCUUCUUCAGAUUUUCCUUUGGAUCAGUUGCACCACACAAGUUGGAGUACUUCUCAAGUUGAGGCUGUUCAUCCUACUACUUUUAGGAGCAUGUAUGAAUCUCCCAAAAGGUCUAGGCACGAUACUGUUAAUGAUCCUAACUGUGAUUUUUUGAGUUUGUCAUUGGCUAGCUUUACUGAGGUUCAUUCCCAAAGUACCAAGAAGAAUAAAGCAUAUGAUACACAAUCUUCUUUGGGUCUCAAGCAGCAGGGCUCCUUAUAUUAUGAACCACCACAGUUAAAGGACAUGAUGAUUCCUUUAACAGAUGAAAACCUUAGUAGAGACGACCUUAUCAGGCAACAAAAUGGUCAUCCAUUUUGCUCUACACCUCCUAGUCUUAAAUUAACAGUCUCUGCUAAUGGUAGCAGUCCAGAAUCUGUCUUAAGGAAUUCCGCAAUGAGUUACACAAGAACUCCUUCAAUCAUAAGAAAGAAGAAUUCCAGAUUUCCUGAAGCUGCAACGCAUUCUAGAUGCACAGGUACCACCAGUCCCACACAUAUUUUCCCAAGAGCAUCUGACAGGGAAGACACCUCAAACCUGAAGGACAGAUUUUCUGGAUGUAAAUCAUCAGCUUCGGGAAAAUCUCUUGGAAGACGGUUGGAAUAUGCCUUUGAUAUGGAAUGGGAUGCCUCUAGAUGUUGCACACCAGUUUCUGCAGCUUCACCUUGUGCACUUAGACUUGGUGGUAAUACCAUGCUGACACCAUAAAAAAGAUUAUACUGGUAUUAGUGGGCCUUUGACCAGGAACCAUUUUGAAUUUGGAUCUUGACAUGUCGGUGGUUUUUAACCGUAGUUAUUUUGCCAAGAAGUUGGUGGGCUUACGUGAAUUAGGUCGGGGCGGCUGGUGGUUUCGGGAUCCCGUAGAAAAUGCUUAAUCUUAUAAUUUUCUGAGGAUCAGUCUGGAGAGGCUUUUGUUGCAGCAUCACAAGCUGUCAAAUCAUACGAACUGAUGGAUCUUUCGGGUACUUCUUCGAGGCAUGUCAAUCUUUGAGGAAAUAAAAUGUCAAUGAAGCAAUGACCAAAUUGAAGCUGAAGAAUUAGUUUGAGAUGGAAGUUGUAAUUUUGGCAGUCAAAAGAACCUAGUGAGCUUAUGGUCUAAUGAGAAAAUAUGGCAAAAAGCUAUAAACUACGUGAGCAUGGAAAUUUGUUGGAUAACCCUUGUUUUGGGAGUUGCCCCUAUUUCUAUAUGGAUGUAAUAUUAUAAUUUGAUUUUUCCCUGCCGUACUUCAGAAAUUUAGCGAAAGGAAGGGUCUGUAAAUAUGCAUUUAAA
This is an RNA transcript of Nicotiana tabacum (common tobacco), 2610 nucleotides long. RefSeq lists it as uncharacterized. Lineage: Eukaryota; Viridiplantae; Streptophyta; Magnoliopsida; Solanales; Solanaceae. The record is from RefSeq and is marked predicted.